CUCGUGAUGUAUUAGCUAUUCCGAUAUCGACAGUUGCUUCAGAAUCCGCUUUCAGUACUAGUGGUCGGGUACUUGAUUGUUUUAGGAGUUUAUUGACUCCUAAUGUGGUAGAAAGUCUUAUUUGUACUCAAGAUUGGCUUCGGUUAAAUUUGCAAUCACUCAACGUUGAAGAAAUUUUAGAGGAUGUGGAAAAACUUGAAAAUGAUUUCUCAAAAAUCAUAAUGGACUCGUCUUCUUCGACAACACCGGUGACAUAAGGAUCAAUGGUUUAUUUGGAAAGGAUUGCUAAGGACACAUAGCUAUGUUGGGGUUGACCUUGCU
Long non-coding RNA from Zingiber officinale, 321 nucleotides. RefSeq lists it as uncharacterized. NCBI's taxonomy places the organism in Eukaryota, Viridiplantae, Streptophyta, Magnoliopsida, Zingiberales, Zingiberaceae. The transcript has 3 exons. The record is from RefSeq and is a predicted model, not a curated record.